RNAcentral lists this ribosomal RNA (303 nucleotides) under uncultured bacterium. RNAcentral describes it as "partial 16S ribosomal RNA". It matches the Rfam family "Bacterial small subunit ribosomal RNA", at positions 507 to 807 of the family's 1533-position model. The record is from RNAcentral.
AGCAGUCGCCGCGGGAAUACAGAGGGUGCAAGCGUUAAUCGGAAUUACUGGGCGUAAAGCGCGCGUAGGUGGUUUGUUAAGUUGGAUGUGAAAUCCCCGGGCUCAACCUGGGAACUGCGUCCAAAACUGGCAGGCUAGAGUAGGGCAGAGGGUGGUGGAAUUUCCUGUGUAGCGGUGAAAUGCGUAGAUAUAGGAAGGAACACCAGUGGCGAAGGCGACCACCUGGGCUCAUACUGACACUGAGGUGCGAAAGCGUGGGGAGCAAACAGGAUUAGAUACCCGUGUAGUCCCUGUCUCUUAUAC